GAUGAAGAACGUAGUGAAAUGCGAUAAGUAGUGUGAAUUGCAGAAUUCAGUGAAUCAUCGAAUCUUUGAACGCACAUUGCGCCCGUCAGUAUUCUGGCGGGCAUGCCUGUUCGAGCGUCAUUACGCCCCUCAAGUCCCCUGUGGACUUGGUGUUGGGGAUCGGCGAGGCUGGUUUUCCAGCACAGCCGUCCCUUAAAUUAAUUGGCGGUCUCGCCGUGGCCCUCCUCUGCGCAGUAGUAAAACACUCGCAACAGGAGCCCGGCGCGGUCCACUGCCGUAAAACCCCCCAACUUUUUAUAGUUGACCUCGAAUCAGGUAGGACUACCCGCUGAACUUAAGCAUAUCAAUAAGCGGAGGA
Molecule: unclassified non-coding RNA, 358 nt
Filed under: soil metagenome
Description: partial contains 5.8S ribosomal RNA, internal transcribed spacer 2, and large subunit ribosomal RNA
Rfam family: 5.8S ribosomal RNA (bases 1-120)
Source: RNAcentral